UGGUGCAUGGUUGUCGUCAGCUCGUGUCGUGAGAUGUUGGGUUAAGUCCCGCAACGAGCGCAACCCUUAUUGUUAGUUGCUACGCAAGAGCACUCUAGCGAGACUGCCGUUGACAAAACGGAGGAAGGUGGGGACGACGUCAAAUCAUCAUGCCCCUUAUGUCCUGGGCCACACACGUACUACAAUGGUGGUCAACAGAGGGAAGCAAUACCGCGAGGUGGAGCAAAUCCCUAAAAGCCAUCCCAGUUCGGAUCGCAGGCUGCAACCCGCCUGCGUGAAGUUGGAAUCGCUAGUAAUCGCGGAUCAGCAUGCCGCGGUGAAUACGUUCCCGGGCCUUGUACACACCGCCCGUCACACCAUGAGAGUCGGGAACACCCGAAGUCCGUAGCCUAACCGCAAGGGGGGCGCGGCCGAAGGUGGGUUCGAUAAUUGAGGUGAAGUCGUAACAAGGUAGCCGUAUCGGAAGGUGCGGCUGGAUCACCUC
This 484-nucleotide ribosomal RNA is filed under the name uncultured bacterium. Its description in RNAcentral is "bacterial SSU rRNA". It matches the Rfam family "Bacterial small subunit ribosomal RNA", at positions 1039 to 1529 of the family's 1533-position model. The record is from RNAcentral.